This 670-nucleotide long non-coding RNA is filed under the name Amphibalanus amphitrite. Its description in RNAcentral is "uncharacterized LOC122374158". The record is from RNAcentral. Lineage: Eukaryota; Metazoa; Arthropoda; Thecostraca; Balanomorpha; Balanidae.
CGUUUACGAUUCUAGGAGCGGACGACACAGGGGUGACCUAUGGGGCACCAUUUUGACAGUUCAGGCCGCUAUAAAAACAGGCUGGGGGCCGACGAGGCUCAGAACAAACAACCAUGAAGUUGGUCUUCCUUCUACCGGUGCUGGCACUUCUAUGUGCCACGCUGCAAUCGGCGAGCGCGUGGCAGUGCCCCCGUCACCACAUAAUUUACCUACGGACCUACAAGACAUCGGCCAGCGCCAGCAAGUGCUACUGCUCCCGGCCGGGCUGGAAGUGCUGUCCCACCAAAUGGGGAUACAUGUGCCUGCCCGUCUGUAAGCCCUACACACACUGGAAGAUCAGGUGUCCCAAAUACAAGCACCGCUGCGGACUGGUCACCCAAACCAAACACUGGUACUCCAGAUGCUUCUGAACGUCACACGGCUUCGAAUACCGGGGGAAGGACGGCGCAGGGAGAAGACGAGCCCGAGACCCAUCGUCCGGAGCAGGGGGAAUCACGCACAGCUUUAUAUCACAACCCUAUCCGAACCAGGCUUUGUCAGACAUGACAUCUUCGUUUCUCCUCCAGUUCGUAAUAAAUGCACAAUGUACCUACCAAAGCAACGAGUAAAGCUCUCGUGACCUGUAUAUUUGGCUUAUGAAGAAACAAUGCAAUAUAAUUUCGCUGGGGAA